This is a long non-coding RNA of Odontomachus brunneus, 2725 nucleotides long. RefSeq lists it as uncharacterized. The record is from RefSeq and is a predicted model, not a curated record. The transcript is spliced from 6 exons. Lineage: Eukaryota; Metazoa; Arthropoda; Insecta; Hymenoptera; Formicidae.
UUCAUCGUCAUUGAACGAACGAACGAACGGGAUGACUGAAAAAAUAUCAUCGGCGCGUGUUCUCGCAAAUCGGUGCGCGCAAAUACAAUUGAAAAAUCAAAGAAAGAACAAAUAUAAUUCGCUCUUAGGCUCUAAUCUCGCGCACCUUGAUUAUUCUGCUGACGUCAGUCGCAAACCCUACGUAAUAAUACUAACAUUACAUCGAGUGAAACACAUGUAAAUACACAUAUACACACAUAUAUCGCGGGAAAGCAAUGUAUUCUCGCAGAAAGCACGGAUAAUUGUCCGUUUUACCUUUUGUGUUUACGUCCUUUCGCGAGGGAAACGAAGAGACACACACGAUAUGUGUGUGUGUAUGUGUGUGUGUGUGUAGAAAAUUACAUAAAAAAAAUGUAUAUAUAUACAUACAUAUAUGUCCGAUGUCCUUUCUCGGAUGCGACGUCGAUAUUCAUCUAAAUAACGCGUUUUGCGCGUUACGCAAGAAAAACAACGCGAGAGAUAAGCAUGGAGAAGCGUGGUCCUUUUUGCACAAACGUUAAAUUAUCACGUGUGUAAAUUAUCGCGGAUUCAAUCGAAGGAUAUUCUCCUUCGCGCGCGUGCGUGCGUGUUUAUAUGCGCUUGUCCGACCUGCUGGAGUCAGACACGUUGAUUCCUGGUGAAUGCAGUGACAUUUGUUUAUACCAACGCAAGAAUAUUCGAAAGAUUUAUUUACAGUAAAGCGCAUCGCGCCCAUCGCAUCGUUAAUCAUCCUACGAUCGUUGAAUUACGUGUGUACAUAAAUUGCAUGGAAUUACUUGGAAGUGGCGUGUCACGGUCGAUCAAUCAUGUGCGAGAUCGAGAAAAAACGAGAGGAUAUUAAAUGAAUAUUUAAUGUCCUUUUGUUACUGCCAAGCAAGCACUGUAGAUUUCGAAGAGGCAACACGAGAAACGAACGAUAAAUUCGGUGGAUUUUUGCUGCGAGUUUGGUAUAUUCUAUUUCUCUUUCUUUCACGAUAUUCUCUGUGGCGGCGGAAUCGCUGUCACGGCACUUUUGCAAAUCGCUGUUAUAAAUUUAGAAUACAAGGAAAAGGAAGCAAAGAAAUAAGGAAGAUUCGCAACGUUCAAGGUGCUCUCAACUCAAGUAAGAUUAUGACACUCGCGAAGGAAAAACAGAAAAUCGUAGUGAGUCUUUCUAAGAUGUGAUCUAGCGUGAGCUACUGCGACUGCUACAUCUGGUAGAUUGAUAGAGAUUCCGUUACACGUAAGAAAUUCAUCUAUAUUUAUUUGCACGACAUAUUUGAGUGUGUAGGUGGUAUACGAUGUGUGGUUGCACGAAGAGUAUAAAUGCGGUAGUAAAUAGGAGGCGAUUUACAAACGGAUACGAUGCCGCGUGACGCGCAUCACGGCGCAAUUCUACAUUUCUUUUAUGCACAGGACUUGUGUACAAGGAUACAAAUAUCAGUGUCAUCUCCUGUCAACGAAAUAUACAGAGGAAAUUAAGCGACUAAGAACGACUUAUGUCAAUUAGUCGAUACAGAGAUACUCUCGUGUUCGCAGAGGGUCAGCCAGAAAAAGAAAACAAGAUUAAAACAAUACACUUGAAAGAAAUGCUCCUAAGAUCUCGGGCGGGGGAUGUACUCAUUGAAAGAGUAAACAAUUGCAAUUGUACAUGUAAUUAAUGCAAAGUUAUUGAUUGAUUUGAUAGUACGCGUCGGCGAUGGUCUUCCUAACACCUUUAACAUAGCCCCAGAAAAUCGACCGAGAGGAACAAGACUGCCAGCAACACUAGCGCGUAAUCAAGCUCUUCUCCACACAAUCUCGGCAUUUAAAAAAAGCUUACCCAGUAUUUUUGAUUAAAAUAUAAUAUUAUGCUGAAAAGAAAGAAGUUACGGAUAUUACGUGUCCCCUCCCUCUAACGCGACGGCACGUGUGCUUCGUCUUACCUUUCUUUCGCGAAUCUAAUCUUCCUGUUACUCGCUCUAUAAUUGUCUGUCUUAGCACUAUAAAAGAUUAGAAUUUACGUUAAGACGUACAGUCUAUCGUUAUCCGGAAAUAUUAGUAUUCAAAGAAUUGUUUCGUUGCCGUCUAAAAAUAUCCUUAAUUUUCAUCCGAGAGCUUUCUUUAUUCACUAAAAUAUCAAUAAUCGUCCUAAAGCCCGUCCUUAGGGACACAUUCAUUAAUUAUACAUGUAUAUAAUUCUCAUUUAAAUCUAUAUUUUAUACAAAAUAUAUCUGCAUCGUUGCAACUGUUCGACCGAAAGCAAAUAAGUAACUCGUCAUUAUUAUUAUGCGAUUCAGCAGAGACAAUUUUGCAUUUUAACGCGCGCUGCUUUUUUUGAUAACAUAAACGAUAACGUAAUUAUGUCGCACCUGGCAGUAACAAAAGUGUCCGAAAUAAUGUGUUAGCACCGAUUGUCGUGUGUAAAAUCAAAUCGAUGAAACGAUAAGAAAAAAUCUUAUUUUUUUUUCUUUUUCAGCGUGAAAUUAAAACGUGAACGAGCAGAUAGAAAUAGGAGACUAUCAAGGUUUUUCACAAUAUAUUGUGUAUCUCCCAAUUAUUCUACCUUAUCAAAAAGUAUUUUAUUUCAUGCCUCUGCCUCAUAAUAUGAUAAACAUAUUUGUCAGUGCAAGAGUUUUAUGUACACUAAAUACCUACAUUUCAAAAGCGAGCUUUUUCUGCUUAGUGGUGAAUGUCAAAAGAACUGCAGACGCUCUCUAUCAAUGAUAAAUAUAUAUUGUAAGAAAUU